This 259-nucleotide ribosomal RNA is filed under the name uncultured bacterium. RNAcentral's name for it is "partial 16S ribosomal RNA". The record is from RNAcentral.
CUGCUGCCUUCCGUAGGAGUCUGGGCCGUGUCUCAGUCCCAAUGUGGCCGUCCGCCCUCUCAGGCCGGCUACUGAUCGUCGCCUUGGUGGGCCGUUACCCCGCCAACUGGCUAAUCAGACGCGGAUCCAUCGUAUACCGCCGGAGCUUUUCACACUGUCCCAUGCGGGACCGUGCGCUUAUGCGGUAUUAGCACCUGUUUCCAGGUGUUAUCCCCCUGUAUACGGCAGGUUAUCCACGCGUUACUCACCCGUCCGCCAA